Pelobates cultripes (western spadefoot toad) is the source of this 245-nucleotide non-coding RNA. NCBI's taxonomy places the organism in Eukaryota, Metazoa, Chordata, Amphibia, Anura, Pelobatidae. The record is from the annotation of a GenBank genome assembly.
AUUUACCGUCGCCGACUCUUGUUUCUCAAUACGCUACACAGCAUCAUAUAGUGAGAAUAUGUAUUACCUUUGGCAGGCAUAGGCUGAAGGACACCCAUGAGACUCUGAUUCAUCUCCCCUUAUGACAAAUCUGGCUUCUUCACAUAGGAAUCUUUACACAAUCUUUUCGACUGCAGUUGCAUGUUUAUUAGUUUUUAAUAGCAAAUUCUAUUUUAGAUAUGCUCGAUGGUGUUCUGGACUCUCAC